CAUCAUGGACCUGACUCCUCAAGUACCCCAAUUUCUCCUCCUUCCUCCAGUGUCCAUCCCCACACAGGUCAGUCCUGGCAAACACACAACUUGGGCCCGAUCUGCCAGGUGCCUCCCCAUUUUUCUUUCUUCCACUGCCGACUGGUGUGGGUGGUUUAUGCCUGGGCAUCCCCCUUGCUCUCCUGAUAGUUUGUUUCCCUCCUGACCUCUGCAACCCAACUAGUGUCCUUCAGCCAGCCUUUUGCAUCUCUACAUGGAUGUCUUGGAGUUACACGAAAUCCGGGCACUCCCCCGGCAUCCUUUGCUGAGGCCACUUUAUCCAUUAACUUGCCAUCUCAUCUCAGUUACUUUGGGGCCUUCUUCGCCUCUCUCUUUCCUUACAUCUGUUCUGUUGCCAGACUCUGUUGCCUUUUGGGGAAAUAUCUCUUGGGCAGCUCUCUUCCUCGUUCCCACCAGCAAUUCCUCGGUCCAUGCCUUCAUCACGUCAGGUCAGGAUGGCUCCGGUGGCUCCUGACUGCUCUCCCUCCCUCCCAGUCUCUUUUCUGAUCUGCUCUCUCUAGCUCCAUUUUCAAACACUGAGAGUGCGAGUCAUAUCAGGCCCUUGGAGUUGCCUUCUCCAUCCUUUCCAACCUCUUCUCCCCACAUUGUGCUGAACACAGCGGGUCUUCAUAGGACUCAGCACCUGUACAACAUGCUUUAUUUCGCUUAGCCUGUUCUCCUUUGUUUGGUAAACUCCUAAGCAUUCUUCAAGAAAUAAUUCUUUGUCUUUUGUCUUUUUUUUUUUUUUGCUUUUUAAGACUGCACCUGGGCACAUGGAAGUUCCCAGGCUAGGGGUCCAAUCAGAGCUACAGCUGCCAGCCUCCACCACAGCCACAGCAACACAGGAUCUGAGCCACUCACACACAGCAACCUACACCACAGCUCACAGCAAUGCCAGAUCCUUAACCCGCUGAGGCCAGGGAUCGAACCUGCAUCCUCAUGGAUACUAGUCAGGUUCAUUAACCACUGAGCCACGACAGGAACUCCUGUGUGUACCAUGUUAAUAAAAUGUUGUAAGUAGCUCCUCCUACUCUUGUAAGAAAAUUCCAGAUGAUGCAGAGUAGGACACACAUUGUUCAACUGGCUUGAAGAGUAAAACCCAGAGAAUGUAAAAGCUCAUCCCACAAAUAUUUUUUUUCAAACAUAUUUGGUUCUGUGUAACAGUUUGGUAAAGAGAAGACACAGAAAAGCAAAGCAGAAAAAAAGGAGGAUGAGGUGACUGAGAAAAGGCAGUGGAAGCAAGUCUUGAUGGAGACACAGAGAAGUGGAUGGGCCAGGAGGCCCUCAGCAGCGUGAAGUGAGACGAGAGGAAAAGUGGAGCUUGUGAUGCCCAGAAACGGCCCACGGAGGAGACUCCUGAGAGCAGAAAGCAACACGAAGGCCAGGAGAAAGGGGAGUCCAGUGGGGUACAGGGGGAGAUGGCGCCCCAGCCUCGCCGGCCGAGGCAGAGAGGGCAGCCAGUGCAGGGAGCAGUGUGGGUGUGGGGAGUCGGCGUGGAGGUGAGUUCAGGACUUGCCCCCAGUUGCUCACCUGGGCUGUGUGAGGGGUGUGAGUUAAUCACCACUUUUUGAAAGACAGGGGAGCUUACAGUCCCACAAGGACGCCUUCCCAGGGACCCGGAUCCGGACCUUACACUUGGCAAGUCCUCACUAAAUUCGUUUUGACUUAUGGAUUGAAUGAAAUGAUGCCUCCACACCCAGGACCCCCUGCCCACGGCGAGAACGUGUGCACCUUCCUGAGGGCCUCGGCCACUCUGCCUGGUGUCCUGGCAUCCCAGGAAUUUCCCUGCCUGCUCUGGGGAGGAUUUUCCACGCUAGAAGCUUUUGCAAAAUCAGACCGCUUUAUCAGAAUCCCGUUGCGCUGGAGAAUGUUCCUGGCUGCUUGACGUUUACAGUGUGUGACCGAUUUUAUCACAGGAAUGUUGUUUGGAAAGAAACGGUCCUCGCAGAUGGGCAGACAAGAGAUGGAAGGUCAUUCGAGGACCCACCCAAGCUGUCGAAGUUGGAGCUCAGGGUUGCUGUACAUGAUGCUUGGGAGCCUGGCCAAGCCGUGAGCAAGCCUUCCUCCCUGGAGGAGGUCCCAGCACGGCUGUGGCGGGCUUGCCUUGCCGUGUUUACAUUUUCACCUUGGCCUCCAAAGCAAACGCCUCUGGAGCCCUGCACCAGUGGGGCCAAGCAGCAGCAAGGACUCCCCAGGCUUGGGGUCCAGCAGGCAGCCCAGCUUGGCCUGGACAGAACAAAUCUGUCCCUGACAUACUGGAAAGGGACAGAAAGGGCCUCUCCCAGGAGGUCAAAAAAUCGGGAGCCAGGUUUACUCCUUUAAUCCUUUGUCAAAAUCCCAAGACUCUGCUCACUGGAACUCUGAACAAAACAGUGGGGAUAUAGCAAGCGGUCCCUCUCCUGGUACAGCCCUGGUGCUGUCAACGCUGGCACGGCAGCUUCUGUCUGCAGGGGUUUGGAUGUGUCGUGGGCAGAGUAGGAUGCAGAGACUGAGACUGAGAUGGAAAGGAGAGGUCAGGAGAGGGCAGAAGUCUUUGUUCCUGGUGGGAGGGACUCCACCCUGACAUGGGAGAGGCUGGCGUGGCACAGUUCGGCCCGAGGUUGCUGGAUGCUGGUCAACAGAGAGGAGCCAGCUGGAAAGAGCCAGUGCUGCUGGACACUGUCUGCUAAUCUCUGAGGGCCCUGAACAGGGGCAGGGGGUGCCAGCACGUGGGUCUCAUUCUCUACAGCUCUUUUUCAGCUUUUUCAUUCUAGUGGGUGGAAGCCUGUCCCCAGAGAGAUUUAUUCAAACCCUAACCCCUGGUACCUGUGGCUUUAUUUGAAAAGAUCUUUGCAGAUGUAAGCAAGUAAAAUGAGAUCAGACCGAAUUAGGCUGGGCUCUGAACCCCAGGACUGGUGUCCUUAUAAGAAGUCCAGGUGACAACACACAGCACAGGAAGGAAGAAGGCCAGGUGGUGAUAGAGGCAAGGACCAGAGUGAUGCAUCCACAAGCCAAGGGACACCAAGGCUUGCCAGCCGCCACCAGAAAUUGGGAAGAGGCGAGGGAGAACCGUCUCCUAGAACCUUCAGAGGGAACACAGACCAGCCGAUACCCUGAUUUUGGACUUUCAGCCUCCGGAUCUAUGAGAAGAUAAUCUUCUGUGUUUUAAGCUACCCAGUUUAUCAGUGUUUUGUUUACAGUAGGCCCAGGAGAUGAGUAUAUUCGUGUUUCUCAAAAUUUCAUCUCCUGAGGCCCUUCCCCUUCGGUCCCUCCACUCUUAGCAAAGAGCCUUGGAUUCAUUAUU
This 3322-nucleotide long non-coding RNA is filed under the name Sus scrofa (pig). RNAcentral's name for it is "lncRNA (ENSSSCG00000060804.1)". The record is from RNAcentral. Lineage: Eukaryota; Metazoa; Chordata; Mammalia; Artiodactyla; Suidae.